UCAAGAAGAGCAUGCUUCAGUUGGCUGGA
RNAcentral lists this non-coding RNA (29 nucleotides) under Homo sapiens (human). The record is from RNAcentral. Lineage: Eukaryota; Metazoa; Chordata; Mammalia; Primates; Hominidae.